GAUGAGCCUGCGUCUGAUUAGCUUGUUGGUGGGGUAAAAGCCUACCAAGGCGACGAUCAGUAGCCGACCUGAGAGGGUGAUCGGCCACACUGGAACUGAGACACGGUCCAGACUCCUACGGGAGGCAGCAGUGGGGAAUAUUGCACAAUGGGCGCAAGCCUGAUGCAGCAACGCCGCGUGAGUGAUGAAGGCCUUCGGGUCGUAAAACUCUGUCCUAAGGGAAGAUAAUGACGGUACCUUAGGAGGAAGCCCCGGCUAACUACGUGCCAGCAGCCGCGGUAAUACGUAGGGGGCAAGCGUUAUCCGGAAUUACUGGGCGUAAAGGGUGCGUAGGUGGCCUGACAAGUCAGGGGUCAAAGGCAACGGCUCAACCGUUGUAAGCCCUUGAAACUGUCGGGCUUGAGUUCAGGAGAGGAAAGCGGAAUUCCUAGUGUAGCGGUGAAAUGCGUAGAUAUUAGGAGGAACACCAGUGGCGAAGGCGGCUUUCUGGACUGAUACUGACACUGAGGCACGAAAGCGUGGGGAGCAAACAGGAUUAGAUACCCUGGUAGUCCACGCCGUAAA
This 564-nucleotide ribosomal RNA is filed under the name uncultured bacterium. Its description in RNAcentral is "bacterial SSU rRNA". It matches the Rfam family "Bacterial small subunit ribosomal RNA", at positions 224 to 806 of the family's 1533-position model. The record is from RNAcentral.